GCGCCGCCGCCGGGUCGUCCCACGGUUGGCGCGAGAGGCCCGCUGCCUGGCCGACCACCUCCAGCCCGAUCCCGUCCUACAGCCCGAGCGGAUGAGGAGAUAGGUUUUCUCGUCUAAAUUGUGAUAUGGUGAUUUAAUUGAUGAAUCUGUAGCUUCAGCAGAAUGCAACAGAGCAACCAUGGGUGGUGUAGGCACGCACUGUUUCUUGAUGCCAUUGGUUGGCCAAGGUGAAUCUAUCUUCCCCAUCUACAGAAGAGGGCUGCAUAUAUAAAUAGUGUGUGUUAAAAAAGAUUAAAUUUUCAGUAGUGAGUAUAUUAAUCAACUUUUGAGUGUUAUGUUACAUGGCUGCAUACUUUUGUGUACUUUUUGGUUGGGUAAUCAUGUACGUUAUUUUAUGUUUAAAAUGGUGUACUG
Lolium rigidum is the source of this 414-nucleotide long non-coding RNA. RefSeq lists it as uncharacterized. The record is from RefSeq and is a predicted model, not a curated record. The transcript has 3 exons. Lineage: Eukaryota; Viridiplantae; Streptophyta; Magnoliopsida; Poales; Poaceae.